Molecule: non-coding RNA, 148 nt
Filed under: Pelodictyon luteolum
Lineage: Bacteria; Pseudomonadati; Chlorobiota; Chlorobiia; Chlorobiales; Chlorobiaceae
Also listed under: 1 other name
Description: Chlorobium luteolum SAM-I sequence
Rfam family: SAM riboswitch aptamer (S box leader)
About the family: The SAM riboswitch is found upstream of a number of genes which code for proteins involved in methionine or cysteine biosynthesis in Gram-positive bacteria. The SAM riboswitch acts at the level of transcription termination control.
Source: RNAcentral
CUAUCAUCGAGAAAGGUGGAGGGACUGGCCCUGAGAAGCCUUGGCAACCGUCAUUGACCGUCAGUGAUUCAAUGGAUUGCAUUGAUUCAUGUAUUGAGGUAAUGAUUGGUGCCAAUUCCAUCCCGGUUGAAGGCCGGGAAAGAUGAAG